RNAcentral lists this ribosomal RNA (324 nucleotides) under uncultured eukaryote. RNAcentral describes it as "partial 18S ribosomal RNA". It matches the Rfam family "Eukaryotic small subunit ribosomal RNA", at positions 1470 to 1796 of the family's 1831-position model. The record is from RNAcentral.
CCCUUAGAUGUUCUGGGCCGCACGCGCGCUACACUGAUGCACUCAACGAGUUUCUUCCUGGUCCGAGCGGAAUGGGUAACCUUUUGAAAGUGCAUCGUGAUAGGGAUAGACUAUUGCAAUUAUUGGUCUUCAACGAGGAAUUCCUAGUAGACGUAGUUCAUCAGACUGCAUCGAUUACGUCCCUGCCCUUUGUACACACCGCCCGUCGCUCCUACCGAUUGAAUGCUCAGGUGAGCCAUUCGGACUUUCAUCAUGCUGGUUUCCAGUUUUGAUGAAGGAAAGUCUUGCGAACCUUAUCAUUUAGAGGAAGGAGAAGUCGUAACA